UCGAACGGUAGCAGGAAGAAGCUUGCUGCUUUGCUGACGAGUGGCGGACGGGUGAGUAAUGUCGGGGAAAGUGCCUGAUGGAGGGGGAUAACUACUGGAAACGGUGGCUAAUACCGCAUAACGUCGCAAGACCAAAGAGGGGGACCUUCGGGCCUCUUGCCAUCAGAUGUGCCCAGAUGGGAUUAGCUUGUUGGUGAGGUAACGGCUCACCAAGGCGACGAUGCCUAGCUGGUCUGAGAGGAUGACCAGCCACACUGGAACUGAGACACGGUCCAGACUCCUACGGGAGGCAGCAGUGGGGAAUAUUGCACAAUGGGCGCAAGCCUGAUGCAGCCAUGCCGCGUGUAUGAAGAAGGCCUUCGGGUUGUAAAGUACUUUCAGCGGGGAGGAAGGUGUUGUGGUUAAUAACCGCAGCAAUUGACGUUACCCGCAGAAGAAGCACCGGCUAACUCCGUGC
Molecule: ribosomal RNA, 457 nt
Filed under: Salmonella enterica subsp. enterica serovar Heidelberg
Lineage: Bacteria; Pseudomonadati; Pseudomonadota; Gammaproteobacteria; Enterobacterales; Enterobacteriaceae
Description: bacterial SSU rRNA
Rfam family: Bacterial small subunit ribosomal RNA
Source: RNAcentral